GAAAUGCGAUAAGUAAUGUGAAUUGCAGAAUUCAGUGAAUCAUCGAAUCUUUGAACGCACCUUGCGCUCCUUGGUAUUCCGAGGAGCAUGCCUGUUUGAGUGUCAUGAAAUUCUCAACCUAACGAGUCUUUGCGGGCUCGAUAGUGUUGGACUUGGAGGUUCUUGUCGGCUUCGCGGUCGGCUCCUCUCAAAUGCAUUAGCUCGGUUCCUUGCGGAUCGGCUCACGGUGUGAUAAUUGUCUACGCCGCGACCGUUGAAGCGUUUUGGCCGGCUUCCAAUCGUCUCGUUAGAGACAGUACACUUAUGACCUUCUGACCUCAAAUCAGGUAGGACUACCCGCUGAACUUAA
This is a ribosomal RNA of 349 nucleotides. The stretch from base 1 to 105 matches the Rfam family "5.8S ribosomal RNA", at positions 50 to 154 of the family's 154-position model.